RNAcentral lists this unclassified non-coding RNA (403 nucleotides) under Hevea brasiliensis (rubber tree). The record is from RNAcentral. Lineage: Eukaryota; Viridiplantae; Streptophyta; Magnoliopsida; Malpighiales; Euphorbiaceae.
AAAAACCUAAUUAAAAAAAAACAAUCUCAGAUACAAGCAAAAUCCCUUUUAUCUAAUUCAAGAAAAUAUGCCUACAACAACCCAAAAUCCAAAUAGAAACUUCUCACAUACAAUUGAAAACCUUGUUAUAUUCAAGAAAAUAUGCCUACAUAGACCCAAAAUCCAAACAAAAACUUCUCAGACACAAUUGAAACCCUCUAUCAAAUUCAAGAAAUUAUGCCUACAGAAACCCAAAAUCCAUACAAAAACUUCUCAGACACAAGUCAAAGGAAAACCUUAUAAUCCUUUACCUCAUAAGGGGGAAAUUUGUACUCAAACAGCUCUUAAAACUGGAAACUUAAUCAAGCCCCUAAACAACCCAAAAAAACAAAGAACUUUUCAUUUUCCAAUCAGAAGAGAUACA